ACAUGCAAGUCUAGGGGGCCCAGCAAUGGGCCACCGGCGAACGGGUGCGUAACACGUAAGCGACCUACCCUAGGAUGGGGGAUAGCCGGCCCAACGGCCGGGUAAUACCGCAUACGCUCUUCGAACGUGAUGGUUUGAAGAGGAAACCUUUAGGGUCCUUGGAGGGGCUUGCGUCCUAUCAGCUAGUUGGUGAGGUAACGGCUCACCAAGGCUAUGACGGGUAGCUGGUCUGAGAGGAUGGCCAGCCACAUUGGGACUGAGAUACGGCCCAGACUCCUACGGGAGGCAGCAGUGGGGAAUCUUGCGCAAUGGCCGAAAGGCUGACGCAGCGACGCCGCGUGGAGGAUGAAGCCCUUCGGGGCGUAAACUCCUGUUGCCCGGGAAGAACCUCCCCUUUCGAGGGGACUGACGGUACCGGGUGAGGAAGCACCGGCUAACUCUGUGCCAGCAGCCGCGGUAAUACAGAGGGUGCGAGCGUUGUCCGGAAUCACUGGGCGUAAAGGGCGCGUAGGCGGCUUCUCAAGCGUGCGGUGAAAGCUCGGGGCUCAACCCCGAGUCGGCCGUGCGAACUGGGAAGCUGGAGCACGGUAGAGG
This 594-nucleotide ribosomal RNA is filed under the name uncultured soil bacterium. Its description in RNAcentral is "bacterial SSU rRNA". It matches the Rfam family "Bacterial small subunit ribosomal RNA", at positions 53 to 657 of the family's 1533-position model. The record is from RNAcentral.